ACUCCUACGGGAGGCAGCAGUGGGAAUAUUGCACAAUGGGCGCAAGCCUGAUGCAGCCAUGCCGCGUGUGUGAAGAAGGCCUUCGGGUUGUAAAGCACUUUCAGUCGUGAGGAAGGUGUGUGUUAAUUAGCUGCAUUAUUUUGACGUUAGCGACAGAAGAAGCACCGGCUAACUCCGUGCCAGCAGCCGCGGUAAUACGGAGGGUGCGAGCGUUAAUCGGAAUUACUGGGCGUAAAGCGCAUGCAGGUGGUUUGUUAAGUCAGAUGUGAAAGCCCGGGGCUCAACCUCGGAAU
RNAcentral lists this ribosomal RNA (293 nucleotides) under uncultured bacterium. RNAcentral's name for it is "partial 16S ribosomal RNA". It matches the Rfam family "Bacterial small subunit ribosomal RNA", at positions 335 to 621 of the family's 1533-position model. The record is from RNAcentral.